RNAcentral lists this long non-coding RNA (1039 nucleotides) under Physcomitrium patens. RNAcentral describes it as "long non-coding RNA (PPAT_LNC006042)". Lineage: Eukaryota; Viridiplantae; Streptophyta; Bryopsida; Funariales; Funariaceae. The record is from RNAcentral.
UAAAUACAAUUAUAAUCAUGAACCUACAAAAUUUCACCUGUAGAUCUAUUACAAAACUCUUGAAAUCACCCAAAAUAUAAAUCCUAUUUUAUUUCAUAAAACCCAAGUCAUCCAAAACAAAACCUUGACUUUGCACAAAGUCAUAACAACUUCAAAUUGCUCAAAUCUAAUGCUUAUAGAAAGCCUAUCCCGUCUACUAUCAAACCUCACUCUUUGAUUUGCAAAAGAACCCCGGAAUCGUCAUCGAGACUCGAUUUUGUGCCUAAAGGUCUGAUUUCGACCUUGGUUCAUAACUGGCCCUCUUCGGGUAUCAACAUCUAGUUCUUCUUAGUAAUUUUUACUAGAGUUUACUCUUAGCUUCCUUCUAAAGAUUCUUAUAUCAUUUAUUUUUCCAACCUAAUUUUUUUUGCCUUAUUUAUGGUCCUACAAAGUAAAUAGAAGUCACCUUUCUAAAAGGCAGCAUUGGUACCUUUUAAUUUUACUACCCCUUUGACUAUUAACUAUAUUUUUAAGAUAAUUUUUUCUAAUAUUUUGAACUAAGAUCUCUUAAAUAAAAAUAAUCUCCACACUCUUUCACCUAUUAGUCAUGUUACAUCAUGACAAUGCUCCUUCCAUCCUCUAGAUCAUAGUUUGUGAUGUAUUCUUCCACUAAUAUCACAUUAAUUGAUGACAAGCUAUCCGACCUUUGUAAGAACUCAAACAUUUGUUCAUUUCAAAAAUCUCAUAUUUUUCUUGGCAUCUAGCAGAUCUUCAAUUUCAUAAGCUCUAUAUUGGUAACAAUUAGUACGGAUGGUGGUUCCAAACUGCAUUUAGCUUUCAUAUUUCAGCCACUUUCUUUUUUUUCUGUAGCUCUCUUUGUACUCUCAAUUGCCAUGACACAUACUUUUCCAAGCUCUAACCAUCAAUGGUAUUCUCCAGUAUUCUCAAAACACAAAAAAUUACAACACAAAAAAAUAACAAAAAAAUGCGAUACCACAAAAUGACCUUGAAUGGGUACUCCACUCCCAUUCUUUUACCUAAUGGUGAUAAUGACACAUGU